This 338-nucleotide ribosomal RNA is filed under the name Ornithodoros parkeri. Its description in RNAcentral is "partial large subunit ribosomal RNA". Lineage: Eukaryota; Metazoa; Arthropoda; Arachnida; Ixodida; Argasidae. The record is from RNAcentral.
UCUGCUCAAUGAUUUUUUAAAUUGCUGUGGUAUUUUGACUAUGCAAAGGUAUUGAAAUAAGGUCUUUAAUGGAUGCUAAGAGAAUGGUUUAACGGGGGUUAACUUUCUUAACUUUUAUAUUAGAGGUUAAUUUAAAAAUGAAAAAGUUUUUAUAAAAUUUUGGGACAAGAAGACCCUAUGAAUUUUUUUAAAAAAUAUCUUUUUAGCUAUGUUUAAUAAUGGAGAAGUUGUUUUUUAAUUGAUUGGGGUGGUUUUUAAAGAUUCAGAAUCUUUAAAAAGAUUAAAUUGAUCCAUUAAUAGUGAUUGGUUGAAUAAAAUACUCUAGGGAUAACAGCGUA